Molecule: long non-coding RNA, 428 nt
Organism: Cicer arietinum (chickpea)
Lineage: Eukaryota; Viridiplantae; Streptophyta; Magnoliopsida; Fabales; Fabaceae
Source: RefSeq, a predicted model, not a curated record
AAUUGAAUACACACAAAUUAACCAAACUAAUAUGGCUUAUAAAAAAACUUUGCUUAUUUGGGUUGUCUUCAUUCUUUGUGUGCUUUCAUUGUGUGCCAAGGCAACAACUAUGAACCUAGCUGGUGCUUCUGACCUUCACGCAAGUUCGUAUGGAAUGGUUAAGAGUAGAAGGCUACGUGAACGGCCAGAAUGUCCAAAUGAUAAGCCUCGUUGCGGCCAUUAUUGAACCAUUCUCUGAAUAAAUACAAAUAACUAAGAUUUUUAUUGGAUGCUAUUAUUAUGUAUACUUUCAUAUAGAUUGGUAUUUUUCUUAUAAAUUGUAUUUAAAUCGGUUUGUAUUGUAUCAUCUUCUCAAAUAAAAGUUUAUAUUGUAUCAUUAUUAUUAACCAGAGUUUUUAUAUAAGAUGCGAGUAUAAGGUGUAUGCAAA